This 195-nucleotide ribosomal RNA is filed under the name uncultured bacterium. RNAcentral describes it as "partial 16S ribosomal RNA". It matches the Rfam family "Bacterial small subunit ribosomal RNA", at positions 328 to 540 of the family's 1533-position model. The record is from RNAcentral.
ACGCUCGACACCUACGGGAGGUAGCAGUGGGGAAUAUUGCACAAUGGGGGAAACCCUGAUGCAGCGACGCCGCGUGAGUGAAGAAGUAUUUCGGUAUGUAAAGCUCUAUCAGCAGGGAAGAAGAUGACGGUACCUGAGUAAGACGCCCCGGCUAACUACGUGCAGCGCGCCGUAGUAUCNGCGGCGNGNGACGAG